CAGUAGGGUGCCAUCAAGAGGUGUAUUUGGAAAUAUCCCUAAUACAGGAUCACUUGGAUCCGUCGGCGAUGACGAGCGCGAA
RNAcentral lists this ribosomal RNA (82 nucleotides) under Enterocytozoon bieneusi. RNAcentral describes it as "partial large subunit ribosomal RNA". Lineage: Eukaryota; Fungi; Microsporidia; Enterocytozoonidae. The record is from RNAcentral.